This is a long non-coding RNA of Phyllostomus discolor (pale spear-nosed bat), 1247 nucleotides long. RefSeq lists it as uncharacterized. The record is from RefSeq and is a predicted model, not a curated record. The transcript has 2 exons. NCBI's taxonomy places the organism in Eukaryota, Metazoa, Chordata, Mammalia, Chiroptera, Phyllostomidae.
AAUGUAUAGCAACCAAGCAAGUGGCUAAUCAAGAAAAAAGCCACUGAAACCUGGUAAAGCUUUGGAACAUUUUAGUUUAUCCUUGUCCAUCCUCUACCCCGCAUCUUGGUGGCAGUCUUGAAAGUGAUGUCCCAUGUCCCUGGUUUGGGCUCCUGGGGUUGUAGGGAGCAGACUGACACUGGUCCCAAGACAAUGCGGCUGUGCAUUCUGACCCACCUGUGCGCUCCCUGAAGGACUACAGCCAUGAGCCUGCCUUUACUUUCCUGACUUGGGACUCUGUUAGGGCAGGAGGGCAGCUAUGCAGGUGUGUUUUUAAACACAUUGAAAAGCAAAAGAACUACCUGCUUUCACAAGGGACAAAGAGUAUAAGUUGGGGCAAGCAAUAAGCCUGGAGGGAAAGGUUUAGGAGUGAAAUGCUUUAGGGAAUAAGAGCUUUGAAGAACACCUAGGCAUGCCAAUACCAGGGGACCUAGAGGCCACACACAGGGUUGGAUGCAUGAUGAGAAAGAAGGUAAAAAAAAAGCUCUGAACUCUCAACGCUGGUUGACCUUCCAGCUCCAUGCAGUUAGGAGAUGCAGGCUAAGACAGAGCUGUAAAUAGCCCGGCUGGGCCUUGAAGGUAUGUCCCAAUACACACGCAGAGUCCAGCUAAAAAGACCAGAUUUUUUCUUUCAGUUACAGGAAUUUAGAGACUUCAGUGACCACAUGCCACAAAUAAAACUUUUGAAAAGUUGCGAAAUAAACUACUACAACUUCUAUCGAGCAGUAACAACCAGUCCUGGCAAGAAAGGUGCAACUGAUGCCCAAAUUAGCAAUUCUAAUAUUUAAGAUAUCUGACUUUUAACACAAAAUUAUAGAGCGUGUAAAGAAGCAAAAAAAAUAUUUUAUUCAUUCACAGGAAUAAAAUAAAUAAAGUAAUUGAGACUGUCCCUGACAAAGGAUAGACAUUCUUAAGCUUACACAACAGACUUCAAAUGAAUUGUCUGAAAUACGCUCAAAUAGCUAAAGGAAACUAUAGCCAAAAAGAAUAAAGGAAAUCAGAUGAUGUCUCCAACAAUAAAGAAUAUCAUUGAAGAGACAGAAAUGGUAGAAAUGAAUCAAAUAGAAAUUCUGGAGCCAAAAAGUACAAUAGCAAAUGUGAAAAAUUCAUUAGAGACAUUUGACAGUACAUAUAAGCUGGCAGAAGAAAGAAUCAAUGACCUUGGACAUAUGUGCCUUGAGAUUAACCAGACUGAGGAUCAGAAAGAA